Molecule: long non-coding RNA, 553 nt
Filed under: Brachypodium distachyon (stiff brome)
Lineage: Eukaryota; Viridiplantae; Streptophyta; Magnoliopsida; Poales; Poaceae
Description: long non-coding RNA (BDIS_LNC003611)
Source: RNAcentral
GGCAUAUGUCAAAUUUAGAAAGGAAAAAGAAAAACUCAUUGGCGGCGAUGCGACUGCCGCCUCCCAGCAGGGUGUAGAUCCACGUCCUCCUGCCAGCGAGCCACAGCCACGCGCAGAGACGUGUCGUGCUGGCGCCAGCUUCGGCCAUUGGAGGAUGUGCGCGGCCCGGAUCCAGGCUGCUAGAUAAUAAAGAUAAGAAGACCUUUGUCCUAAAUUAAACUUGUUAAACUUUGUCCUAGCACCAUAUACUAUUCUAAAAUAGUUUAAUUAAAUAAUCAUGAUAUAUAUUUGAAUCGUAUACUUAUUUGAUAUUUCAGAUAUUUGAUACACUUGUCUUAAAAAAAAUUUGACGGGAACAUUUCUAUAAAUUUGGUCGAAGUAAGAAAAAAAGUUCAACUCAAGACAAAGCUGGAACAUUUUAAGCUUAGGAGCGGAGGUAGAGGCAGUAAAUUUCAAAAAAAAUAGAAACAGAGGUAAUAGCGAGUACCAAAAAGAAGAGAAAAGAAAGCUCUGUUCUUAUUUAUUUUUUAGAAAAGAAAAGCUCUGUUCUCGG